Molecule: small RNA, 1127 nt
Filed under: Pan troglodytes (chimpanzee)
Lineage: Eukaryota; Metazoa; Chordata; Mammalia; Primates; Hominidae
Description: processed transcript
Source: RNAcentral
CUCCCUCUGAAUGUUUUCAAUAACUACUUCAGCCUUGGAUUUGAUGCCCAUGUCACACUGGAGUUCCAUGAAUCCAGAGAAGCAAAUCCAGAGAAAUUCAACAGUCGUUUUCGAAAUAAAAUGUUCUAUGCAGGGGCAGCUUUUUCUGACUUCCUACAGAGAAGUUCUAGAGAUCUAUCCAAACAUGUUAAAGUUGUUUGUGAUGGAACAGAUCUCACCCCAAAGAUUCAGGAACUGAAGUUCCAGUGUAUAGUAUUUUUAAAUAUACCCAGAUAUUGUGCUGGCACAAUGCCCUGGGGAAACCCAGGAGAUCACCAUGAUUUCGAACCUCAGCGUCAUGAUGAUGGUUAUAUUGAAGUCAUUGGAUUUACCAUGGCCUCUUUGGCAGCCCUGCAAGUUGGGGGCCAUGGAGAGAGGCUACACCAGUGUCGAGAAGUCAUGCUUCUAACUUACAAAUCCAUCCCCAUGCAAGUGGAUGGGGAGCCCUGUAGGUUGGCCCCAGCUAUGAUUCGGAUCUCCCUGAGGAAUCAGGCCAACAUGGUACAGAAGAGCAAGAGGAGAACAUCCAUGCCUUUACUCAAUGAUCCCCAGUCUGUCCCAGAUCGUCUGAGGAUCCGGGUGAACAAAAUCAGUUUACAAGACUAUGAAGGAUUCCACUAUGACAAGGAGAAACUCCGAGAAGCUUCGAUACCUCUGGGUAUUCUAGUUGUGCGUGGAGACUGUGAUUUGGAGACUUGCCGUAUGUACAUAGACCGCCUACAGGAGGACCAUGAAACCUCCUUCCCCAGGGCUCUCUCAGCACAGAGGCUCUCCCCUCGGUGGUGCUUCCUAGAUGCAACUUCUGCUGAUCGCUUUUAUCGAAUAGACAGAUCUCAGGAACAUUUGCACUUUGUGAUGGAGAUUUCCCAAGAUGAGAUUUUUAUUCUGGACCCAGAUAUGGUGGUGUCACAGCCGGCGGGGACACCUCCGGGCAUGCCUGACCUGGUGGUGGAGCAAGCCUCGGGGAUCUCAGACUGGUGGAAUCCUGCCCUGCGGAAACGCAUGCUGAGUGACAGUGGGCUGGGGAUGAUAGCUCCCUAUUAUGAGGACUCAGAUCUGAAAGAUCUCAGCCACUCCCGCGUGCUACA